RNAcentral lists this ribosomal RNA (460 nucleotides) under uncultured bacterium. RNAcentral describes it as "partial 16S ribosomal RNA". It matches the Rfam family "Bacterial small subunit ribosomal RNA", at positions 338 to 795 of the family's 1533-position model. The record is from RNAcentral.
CCUACGUGAGGCAGCAGUGAGGAAUAUUGGUCAAUGGACGAGAGUCUGAACCAGCCAAGUAGCGUGAAGGAUGACUGCCCUAUGGGUUGUAAACUUCUUUUAUAUGGGAAUAAAACGUCCCACGUGUGGGAUUAUGCAUGUACUAUAUGAAUAAGGAUCGGCUAACUCCGUGCUAGCAGCCGCGGUAAUACGGAGGAUCCGAGCGUUAUCCGGAUUUAUUGGGUUUAAAGGGAGCGUAGGUGGAUUGUUAAGUCAGUUGUGAAAGUUUGCGGCUUAACCGUAAAAUUGCAGUUGAAACUGGCAGUCUUGAGUACAGUAGAGGUGGGCGGAAUUCGUAGUGUAGCGGUGAAAUGCUUAGAUAUCACGAGGAACUCCGGUUGCGAAGGCAGUUCACUGGACUGCAACUGACACUGAGGCUCGAAAGUGUGGGUAUCAAACAGGAUUAGAUACCCGGGUAGUC